Molecule: long non-coding RNA, 1927 nt
Filed under: Monomorium pharaonis (pharaoh ant)
Lineage: Eukaryota; Metazoa; Arthropoda; Insecta; Hymenoptera; Formicidae
Description: uncharacterized LOC118645586
Source: RNAcentral
UUAUUGUUUUUAUUGGUAUCUUAAUGAACAAUAUUUUAGUAUUAAAAAAGUAACAAAAAAAGUAACGAAUCGUUAUUUUGUAAAUAACGGUAACGGUAACGCGUUGUUUUUGAUAAUCAGUAAUAACGGUAACUAGUUACUUUUAAAAAGUAAUUUUUCCAUCCUUGUUUGGAACACACAUGUGUCUUAUAUUUAUACCGUUGUGUAUGAAAAUAUAACAUUAAUUACGUAUUUUUGUUGUACUGGUUAUAUAAUAUUUUUAUUUUUACUGGGAUGUAUACUGAUUUAACGAUAUCUAACAUCAUUUUAUGUACUAUGUAUAUCUAGGGCGGGAAAGUUAAAUUUCUCUUAAAAUCUUACAGUCAGUAAUAAGAGCUCCUCAAAAAGUUACUGACUUCUAAAUCGUCUUUUGCCAAUGACUUUACGUCAGAGUUACCAAUUCUCAUCGCAUAGAAGUGUUGCAAAUAAUUAAUUAAAUCUUUCAAUUAAUUACAAUAAAAUUAUUAAUAAAAGAAUUAAAAGUUUAUUUUAAUUUAAAUUUUAUUUAAUUGAGAAUUAAAAUUUAAAUUUGAAUUACAACAAAAUUUAAUUAAGAAUUAAAAAUUAAUUUUUAUUUGCUGUGACGGUUUGCCUUUCCCGAACGUCUCGGACAGGCUCGCCGGGUAUCAGGAUUCGAGAGAAGGGGGGUAACCAACUUGCGCACACCGAUAUUAAAUUACCAAACCUUUAUUAUAAACCUUAGCUUAUAUACAUUUCUUAGCCUACUCUAUAUAGUAUAUUACCUGGUCUACACAAUAUACAGCUUAACCUAGUUACGUUAGUCGGACGGGAGCGCGCUAGUGCGCACUUUAGAACGCGGUCGCGACGCGUGGUCGCCGGCGAGAACCGGGCGGCAGGGCGGCCAGGUGGCCUGCCCCGUUGACGGAGACAAGGAUAGUCGAAUGCCGGCGAGAACCGGGCGUCAGAGCGGUCCGGAGACCUGCUCAAUCGAUAGGACGGGACUGGUGUCUGGUCUAGAUCAGUCUAGAUUAGGGCAUAUAAUCUCUUAUGUAUUUUUCGUGAUCAGCGUUUGUGGCGCCGCCGCUGCAAGCGAACCAGCCGAACCGAACUAAAAUGCAAUAUGGCUGUCUAAAAUCAACAUGGCCGUAGUAAUGAGUUCCGUUCAACAAGCAGAGUGAAGUGAAGCAAAGCUUACGAGCGAAGAAGGAGGUUAUUUCUUACGAACGGAAUAAUUUGAAACUGAUGACACCAGUAGCUGUUCCAGCUUUCGACUGUACACCAGCCUUCGACACCAUAUAAAAUAAAGUUGCUGUGGCUGCGUUUGGAAACAUCACCUGAGUGCUCUCGGGUAUCAUUCUAUGAUAGAGAGUUAUAUCGAAUCAUUAAUCAUGACAAUUACCUAUUUACUUUGUUUAUAUUAGAAGAGUGAAGAGAUUGUGAAAUGAUGAUUGGUGUAGAUUGUAAUAACUAGCUUUCUUAACAGAUUCUAAAUUUAAUUUAUUUUUAAAAACAAUUUUUGAAAGAAACAAGAAUAUAUUUCUCUUCUUAAAUAAUGUUAAAUGUUUAUGCAGUAUUAGUCAAAGAUUAGAUUCUUACAUUCGGUAUUUGAAUUACUUAAUCGUGACAAAUUGUAGCAUAUGUUUUACUUAGUCCCAGCUUUCGUCUGAUGAAUUAAUAGCGAUUGAGCUUGGAUUUUCCACGUAUUAAACCAAAAGUUCUUACUUGAACUGAUUGUGAUACGUAGGCACGAGAAAACGACUAUCUCUUUUCACUCUCCCAAAAAAGUAUAUGCAUAUAUUUAUAAUACUGUAAGCGUAUAUAAAAUAUUUUUCAUUUGCAAAUGUCAUAUGCAAAUUAUAACAUUUUAUUUGUUUGUACUAAUCAUGUAAUGGUUCCAUAAAACAUGUGAAAUAAAUAAGUUCAAAAA